UCGACCAGGAUGGAUAUGCCUCUAGUAAAUUGAUCAUAACUCCUUCAUUACAUCUCCAAAUGACUUGAAACCACUUCCAUUAGAAAGCUAACUCAAUUUUCUGUGUCUCCACAAAAUCUUAGCAACAGAAGAUUUCUCUAAAGGCUCCAUCCAUGCUCAUAUUUCACCUCCUUUUGGAUCACAAUGCUCCCAAACAUCUCAAAUCACUCCAUGGCACACUCCAACACCUAAUAAGGACAAUGAAUGCAAAAUGCAACCUAGACAUGGCUAAAUCCUAAUCUAUAUGAUGAAAAUGCUCAUGGAUGAAUGGAUAAAACAAUGUAAAUAUGCAAGAUAUCAACUCCCCCAAACUUGUUCUUUUACUUGUCCACAAGUGAACUUUCUAGAACUCAUAAGGAGAGAGGUUGAAGGUGGGAGCACAUAGCCAAAAGAAACACAACUAGCACACUCUCUUAUUACACUCUAGCUUCUCUAGGCCUAUCUCAACUCUUUUUGCUCUUACACUCAUCAUCAAGCAUCCACACAUUCAAAUCAACCAACUCUCACAUUCAUUAAGCACAAAACAUUAGGUGAAUUCUUGCAAAUGGUCAGUUGGUCCAAAUCAUUUGGUUGGGUAAGAGAAGGUUUUUAUUCAAGUGAUUCAAGAGGUUCAAAACAUAUGAUCUUUAAGGUGGUUUACUCUCGAAACAAGUAGACUUGACAUUGCACAUAAUAUAUCUAAGAAAGGGAUCAACUCAUGCUUACAAUGCUCAAUCUCCAUUGUUCUACCCUUUUCCCAAACAUACAAUUACACAAUCAUUCCCAAAUGUCAAACCCAACUCUCAUCUCUCACCAAAAGAUCCUAAGAACUUUAACUCCUUCUCCUUGAAAUCUACAAGGGAUUUUUUUCAGAACCUCAAAAUAUUUCUUAGCUCCUAACAACUUUGCUAGCCCCUUUUUCUUUUCUUUUUUUCUUUUUCUUUUCUCUUUUUUUUCGUUUUUUUUUUUCUUUUUCCUUUUUUUUUUUUAUUUUUUUAGGCUGGGGGCCAAGACUUUCAAAACUUGAGCUAGAGGCUUCUCUACUUAUCCCAAUAAAACAAUUCACUUAAGCACAAAGAGUCUAUUCUUUUCCUUUUUCAUUUCUCCCAAAUCAUAAUCACAACACUCACCCCCCACCUAUAGCUAGACAAUAGAGUGCCCAAUCUAGCAAGAAUGAAGAUCAAGCAUUGUCGUUCCCGAUACUCUCAACAUUAUGCACAUGUAAGACUUUCCGAAAAAGGCCUCACUCAUCAAACAAUGAAAGCUUAAAAGGAGGGAAAGGUUUUGGGAGUGGUCUACCACUAGAGUUUGUCAAAAAAGAUUGACAUAAAAGAUGUGACAACUCAAGUGUGUAUAGCCAUGACUCAGUACACAAGGGACCAUGAGCAAGAAGCAUUAAGUUCGUUCAGUUCAAAUAAGGUUGUAGUUGGCUUCAAAGACUGAGUUUCAGCAAUCAACAAGUUUCAGGAAGAGUUUUCAAGGCUCGAAACAUACAAGUCUUUUUGAGAGGUGCAAAAGCUACUCAGGUGCAACGUAGUGUUCUUUACAAGGCAUUUAAAAUCAUUGCUCCCAAUGCAUGUGAAUGCAACCUAUAUGCUCUAGACUCUCCUAGAAAUGCAAAUGAUGCAAACUAAAUGAUUGAUUUUUUUUUUUUUAUAUGCAAAUAGGUAUGCAAUGCAUGACUCAAUGAAACAACAUCAAAGCAAACAUGAUCAAAUACUUGGUACCUCCCCCAAACUUGAGUUACACAGUCUCUGUGUUGUCAAGUAGAGAGAGAGAUACCGAAAAGAAGACUAAUAUGCAAAAAUAAAAUGGUAUAUACAGGGGAGUGUGAUGGGUUACCUUCUAUGGGGAAUGAGUAGAGGGAGAUGAUCCCUCCUCGUCGUCCUCAGGUGGUAACUCUUCAAGGUGCUCAUCAGCAGGAGUGUCCAUCUCUUCAAUGUAGAAGGCUUGCCCGAACACAGUUGGUUUCCUCAUUUUCCUCUUGAUGUCAAAGUGGAGGAUGUUCUCUUUACCCAAAUGGAGAUCAAUCGUGCCUUCCUUCACAUUAACAAUAGCUCCUGCUGUAGCUAAGAAUGGUCUUCCUAGAAUCAAUGGAUCUUGAGCCUCCUCACCCAUCUCAAGCACCACAAAAUCUGUAGGUAUCUCAUACCUUCCAAUCUUCACAGGGAGGUCCUCUAAGAUGCCCACAGGAUACUUCACUGAACGAUCAGCUAACACCAGAGAGAGUCUACACUUCUUGAACUGGGUGAAUCCAAGCUUCUUUGCAACAGACAAAGGCAUCAAGCUGACACUAGCUCCCAAAUCGCAGAGACUUUUCUCAAAUACCAUAGGUCCAAGAGCACAAGGUAGUGUGAAGCUUCCUGGAUCCUCUAAUUUCUCUGAAGCAUCAAGCCUCUGGAUGAUGGCAUUGCACUCAUGGGUAAGAAUCAUCAUGCCUUCCAUCUCCUUCUUCUUUGCAGCUACAGCAUCUUUCAAGAACUUGCUGUAUUGAGGAAUCAACAUAAAAGCAUCGAUGAUGGGCAUUGCAACCUGAGCUUCACUCAUUUGCUUCUCAAACAGAGCUUUGUAUUUCUCUAGCAGCUGCCUCUUGAAUCUACCAGGGAAUGGUAGUUUGGGUUCAUAGGGAGGAGGAACAAAAGAACUUUCACUUGCUGGAGUAACAACUUCACCAUCUUUUACUGUCUUCUUCUCUUCCCCAACCUUUCCUUUACCUUUGGCUUCUACUAUCUUUUCCAAGAUCUCGUCAUUGAUCUUCUCAUCAACAAUCACCACUUCAUCAUCUAUGUUGAUGGCAACCCCCUCACCUAGUUUCUCAGCAUCCUUGGUGAGGGUUUUAGGAGGUAACUGUUUACCACUCCUAAGGGUGAUAGCUUUGGCCUCCUUGGGGUUUUGGUCAGACUUUCCAGGUAGAGAUCCUUGCUGGCGAUUCUGGUGAGUGUUCAUGGAAGCAAACUGAUUCUCUAAAUUCCUGACUGUAGAAGCAAGGUGAGAGAAUUUGUUGUUGAGCUCAUUGUAGCUCCCAUCAAUCUUGGUAUGAAGGUUCUUCAACUCAUAACCAACAUGCUUCUCACUUCUAGUCUGAGACUCCAAGAUUUGUUUCAGUAAGGUAUCAGUGCUGCUCUCUUGAGGAGCAGAGGAGCCAGACGAGGGGUUUUGCUGAGGCUGAUAGCUGCCUUGCUGGUUGUUUCUAGGCGGAUAACCACUCUGUUGGUUGUUGGGAUAGGAUUUCUGUUGGUAGUUGUUGUACUGAAAGUUGGGCUCCUUUUUGUACCAGCUACCAUUGUUGUUGAUGAAGCACAACUCUUCCUGACCUUCCAAACCCUCAACCUCAUUGACAGCAAGUGGAUCUUCCUGCCUGGAGUUACCAACAAACUUCAGCUGCUCUUGGGUGGCUUUUUCAGCAAUGAGAAGGUCGAUCUUGUCUUCCAAAGCUUUGAUCUCUUUCCUCGUCUGCUUAUCAUCUGUUCUACUGCCUCUGUCGUGGUCUCCACUGUAGACUGCAUCACUCUUUACCAUGUUGUCAACCAGCUCUUCUGCAUCCUCCUCAGUUCUCCCCAAGAAAAACCCAUUGCUAGCUGUAUCCAGUCUAGCUCUGUACUUAGGAAGAGCACCACGGUAGAAUGUGCUCAGCAAGCUCUCCUUAGAAAAGCCAUGGUGUGGGCAUUGAGCUUGGUAGCCCUUGAAUCUCUCCCAGGCUUCACUGAAGCCUUCCAAGUUCUUCUGUUGAAAGCUGGAAAUCUCGUUUCUCAGCUUAGCAGUUCUUGAAGUAGAGAAGAACUUCUCCAAGAAUGCUUUCUUGCAGUCAUCCCAAGUGGUGAUGGAGUCGCUGGGUAGAGACUUCUCCCACUGACGUGCUUUAUCCCCCAAAGAGAAAGGGAAUAGCUUGAGCUUUAAGGCAUCUUCGGACACACCAUUGGUUUUUGACAACCCACAGUAGCUGUCGAACCUGUCCAAGUGAUCAAAUGGAUCCUCUAGAGCCAAGCCAUGAUACUUGUUGUUCUCGAUCACAUUGAGGAGUCCUGAUUUGAUCUCAAAGUUGUUGGCUGCUACAGCUGGUGCUCGGAUUCCCAAUCUAUGACCAUGAAUGUUGGGGCGGUCAUAAGUGCCAAUAGGUCGCGCUGCUCGCUGUUGGUUUUGAGGUAUGUCUCCCAUAUCAGUAUCCAAUCUCUGCAAGUGAGCCUGUUGCUCUUCUUCUCUUCUAUUUCUAGCACACUCUCUCUCUAAAGCUCUGAUGUCUGCAGCUAUUGGAACUAGGUUUGAUGGACCCCUGCUCCUCAAGUUCAUACACCUGUAGAUUAAAGGGAGGUGAAGAAGAAUCAGUAACAAAAUAAAAUAAAAAUGACUUAGUCUCAAGCAAGUGACUAAAUCUCAAUGUUCAAAUCUACUCAGAAUUUGGCAACGGCGCCAAUUUGAUGUUAGGAGUUUUCAAGGCUCCUAAGACAAAUGUUGUAGUAUAGAAGAUUAUCGAACCAGUUCUGAGGGAUAUCAAAGCACUGAGAAUGCAAGUACUCACUUAAUCUAAGUGCAACCAAUGAUUUAGAUGGGUUUUAAGCUAUGACUAAAACUAAAAAGCAAUAACAGAAUGAUACUUUCUUAACUAAGGGAAAAGAGAACUCAUGGGCAUAGGGAUUAGACCUUGGGUGAUCAAGUAUCGAACUAAAGAUGGCAAAUGAUCAAUCAAACUAUCAACCUUAAGCCUAGACACAAUUCUAAGCAAGCUCUAUGUCUAGAUGAAUGCUCAUUUGCUAACAUAUCUCAAACAUCAAAUGUCUUUGGUUGAAUAAUAUGAAAGCAAUCAUUACUAACAAGUCUAUUAGCUAUCUUAGCACCUUUAACAACAAAUGUCUUUGGCAAAGUAUACUAAAAGCCUAGGAGAAUUGUCUCAGGCAUUUCAUCAAACACCUUUUGGGUGGGAAAUGUCUAUUGAUCAACUUUUGAGUGGCCAACUCAGAAGAUGCAUUAUGAAUACUCUACUAGCAAGGAACAAGAAUGAUCUACACUAAAACAUCCUAGAACUAACCUAAUCACCCCUAAUCUCCCUAACCCAUGAGUUCAAAAGGUGAUUACUCACUAAUCUCCAUGAUUCCUCUUAAACCCAUAUUGGAUUUUAGAUUAACCAUGUAGAGAAAUAGAAAAUAAAUCAACAAGAACACAAGAUGAAAGCAAUGAAAUCUGAAUCAAAAGAGGUUUUUUUACUAGUUCUUCUCUAGAAAAGAGAUUAUUUUGCCUCCCUUGGCUUACAAAGUACUUAACUUAGGUUUAGAAAGUGUAAAACAUCAAAACAAAUGACCAAAAGGUCCCUGAAAAAUCAUAAGUUUCGUCCAAGCAAAACACGCGGAGGGACUUCGUGGUGUAGCUCCGAGACGUAGCUCUGGGUUGGGAGCUACCUUAUGGUGUCGCUCUGGAAGGUCCCUCCAGGCCUAUGUUUUGGCUUCCAAAGUGAUGAAAAGGCGAGUGACGUAGGGGUGUAGCUCUGGAAGGUCGCUCUGGGUUGGGAGCUACCUUAUGGUGUCGCUCUGGAAGGUCCCUCCGCGAUACUCGACCAGGAUGGAUAUGCCUCUAGUAAAUUGAUCAUAACUCCUUCAUUACAUCUCCAAAUGACUUGAAACCACUUCCAUUAGAAAGCUAACUCAAUUUUCUGUGUCUCCACAAAAUCUUAGCAACAGAAGAUUUCUCUAAAGGCUCCAUCCAUGCUCAUAUUUCACCUCCUUUUGGAUCACAAUGCUCCCAAACAUCUCAAAUCACUCCAUGGCACACUCCAACACCUAAUAAGGACAAUGAAUGCAAAAUGCAACCUAGACAUGGCUAAAUCCUAAUCUAUAUGAUGAAAAUGCUCAUGGAUGAAUGGAUAAAACAAUGUAAAUAUGCAAGAUAUCA
This 5898-nucleotide long non-coding RNA is filed under the name Brassica rapa (field mustard). Its description in RNAcentral is "long non-coding RNA (BRAP_LNC005827)". The stretch from base 3668 to 3774 matches the Rfam family "Plant small nucleolar RNA R71". Lineage: Eukaryota; Viridiplantae; Streptophyta; Magnoliopsida; Brassicales; Brassicaceae. The record is from RNAcentral.